This 96-nucleotide non-coding RNA is filed under the name uncultured Cetobacterium sp. RNAcentral's name for it is "Purine riboswitch". It matches the Rfam family "Purine riboswitch aptamer". Rfam says of the family: Riboswitches are metabolite binding domains within certain messenger RNAs that serve as precision sensors for their corresponding targets. Lineage: Bacteria; Fusobacteriati; Fusobacteriota; Fusobacteriia; Fusobacteriales; Fusobacteriaceae. The record is from RNAcentral.
ACAAAAAUAAAUUAAAGCUUGUAUAAUAGUUGAAAUAAGGUCAACGAGUCUCUACCUGCCACCGUAAAUUGGCGGACUACAAGGAUAGAUUUUUGA